This is an RNA transcript of Diospyros lotus (date-plum), 6065 nucleotides long. It is a transcript of the gene named protein GFS12, with no coding region annotated. The record is from RefSeq and is a predicted model, not a curated record. The transcript has 18 exons. NCBI's taxonomy places the organism in Eukaryota, Viridiplantae, Streptophyta, Magnoliopsida, Ericales, Ebenaceae.
AUCUUGUUCGAACCAGAACCUUCACUUGAUACUCUGGCCUGGCCUGGCCUGCGUACUGGAGCAAAGCAGAGUUCCAUGGAGUUCACCAUCGAAGCCUUGAAUCGCCGUUGAAAAAAUGGAGGGAAAUUGAAGUUCAACUCUUCAUUGCAACGCCUCUCCCAAAUGGAAAAUCAAUUCUGCUUCGACUGCCUCCGGAGCCGAAUCGCCGCCGAUUUCUCAGACAAACUCGUCUUCUCCUACGGCAUCUCUGAUUCGGCCUUCGCUCUCUCCUCUUCUGCCGUCGUUCAGACGCCAAUUCCUGGUGCCGAGGCUUCACCUCAGUUUGUGCUGGUGUAUCUGCCGAGUUCCCUGGACCAGUGCUUGAUAAAGUACAUCAGUGACGAGUACUGCCAGGACGAUCCUCAACGUGAUAGUGAUGAGACGCCUGUGUCUGUCACUAAUCAAGAUCGAGAAGACGGUUUGUCGAGUGAUGGCCGACGAACAUCGCUAGCUUGGUUUGGAUGCAAGAGUUUGAACUGUAACUUCUCCGGUAAGUUUUCUUGUUCCAGAACAAUCACGUCUUUGGCUCCAAUUGCUCGUAUUGGCGUUUCAUCCUACUCUGCAUUUGAGGAGAUUGCUUCGAAUUAUUUAUCCGGAUUUGGCGAAGACCACAUUCUGAGCUCUCUUAGUCUUCUGAUUGAAGGGAAAUCAACUACACGAGAUGCCAUAAAUUUUCUUAGCUUGAUAGGGGUACCUUCGUUUGAUGAUAAUAGACUUCCUGGUUGUUUAAGGCACCCGAACAUAGUUCCUAUCCUUGGGAUGAUGAAAGUAUCAAAUUACAUCAAUUUAGUCCUUCCAAAGACUCCUUAUACCUUGGAGAGCAUUCUACAUUAUAGCCCUGGAGCCCUAAAAUCUGAAUGGCAUAUAAAAUUUUUAGUAUACCAGUUGCUCUCUGCCUUGGCUCACAUGCAUGGUCUGGGGGUUGCACAUGGUAAUAUAUGCCCCUCGAAUGUAAUGUUGACUGAUUGUUGCUGGUCUUGGUUGCGGAUUGAUGAUAAACCUUACUUGAGUUCAAAAAAUAAAGAAGGCUCUCUUUCUCCUUCUUGGGGUAUUGGUUGCUGUGUUGAGGGCUGCCCUUACAGAGGAGUUUAUGCUGAUUUGAAGCUUUCCCAGUCAAUAGAUUGGCAUUCAGCCUUUAUUUGGUGGUGGAGGGGUGAGUUGAGUAAUUUUGAGUAUCUGCUUGUGUUAAACAGGUUAGCAGGGAGGAGGUGGGGGGAUCACACAUUUCACCCAGUGCUGCCAUGGGUUGUAGAUUUUACUGUGAAACCGGAUGAGACUAAGGACAUAGGUUGGCGAGAUUUGAGCAAGAGCAAAUGGCGGUUGGCAAAAGGUGAUGAACAGUUGGACUUCACAUAUUCAACAUCCGAAGUUCCUCAUCAUGUCUCAGAUGAAUGCCUCUCUGAGCUGGCUGUCUGUAGUUAUAAAGCAAGGAGGUUACCUUUGAGUGUCUUGCGAAUGGCUGUUCGAGCAGUUUAUGAACCAAAUGAAUAUCCAUCCAGUAUGCAAAGACUUUACCAGUGGACUCCUGAUGAGUGCAUCCCUGAAUUUUAUUUUGAUCCCCAAAUAUUUUAUUCUUUACACUCUGGUAUGUCUGAUUUGGCAGUUCCUUCUUGGGCGGGUAUGCCGGAGCAGUUCAUUAAACUGCAUCGAGAUGCUUUAGAAAGUAAUCGGGUCUCACGUGAAAUUCAUCAUUGGAUUGACAUCACCUUUGGAUACAAAAUGUCAGGUGAGGCAGCUAUUCUUGCCAAGAAUGUUAUGCUGCCUGCAUCAGAGCCCACAAUGCCCAGGUCGGCAGGACGGCGCCAGCUUUUCACCCAACCACAUCCUGCUCGCCUUGUUGCCAGGAAAGUUCAUAAUAGGGCAGCUGAAUUAAGUAGGCAGCAAAACCAAGCAAACCAAUAUGAGGGGAUCAAAUCUCUCCUUCUGGGAACUGCUCACUUACAAGAACUGGAAGAAUCAGCCAAAUUUUGUGAACAUGCUCGGCAUUUGAGUCCGAUCUACUGCUACCAUCCAAGUGAUCUUCUGGAAAAUGACUUUUCCACCAAACAGCCUCUUUGUGAGAACCUGGAGAAAAAAACAUCUGGAACUCCUAAUCACAUCAGCAACCAUGAAGUGCAAUCAAUUAUUGACUUACAUUAUCUUCUUGAUAAUAUUGAGGUAGAUGAUGGCAGUUACUUGGGAUAUCAAGAGUUACUGCUCUGGAGGCAGAGAUCAUCUUGCUCUAAGGUUCUUUCUGGAAACAUUGGGAGGGACAUAUUUUCUGUUGGGUGCAUUUUAGCAGAACUCUAUUUGGGAAGACCACUUUUUGAUCCAACCUCAUUAGCAACAUACUUGAAAGGCGGUGUCUUACCUAGUGUGUUGCAAGAACUUCCUCCUCACACCAAAGUUCUUGUUGGAGCAUGCAUCGAGAAGGACUCAAGUAGGAGGCCUUCUGCCAAGUGUCUUUUGGAAUCUCCAUACUUUUCAGCAACAAUCAGGUCAUCCUACUUGUUUCUUGCCCCCCUUCAACUUUUAGUAAAAAGUGAAUUAUGUCUCUGCUACGCUGCAAAUUUUGCAAAGCAGGGAGCUUUCAAAGCAAUGGGACCAUUUGCAGCUGAAAUGUGUGCGCCAUAUUGCUUACUGCUCGUAGUAAACCCUCUAUCAGAUACUGAAGCUGAGUGGGCGUAUAUACUACUGAAAGAAUUCUUAAAAUGUCUGAAGCCUAAAGCAGUAAAGGCUCUCAUCUUGCCUGCAAUCCAGAAGAUUCUACAGGCUACAGGUUAUUCACAUUUGAAGGUUUCUCUUCUUCAAGAUUCAUUUGUGCGUGAAAUAUGGAAACAGAUCGGUAAACAAGCAUAUCUGGAGACAAUGCAUCCUCUGGUUAUUCUAAACUUAUUUGUUGCUCCUCAGAAGAGUUCUGCUGCUGCUGCUGCUGUUCUGCUGAUUGGCUCUAGUGAAGAGCUUGGUGUACCAGUUACAGUUCAUCAGACAAUUUUACCCCUGAUUCACUGUUAUGGUAAAGGGCUCUGCGCCGAUGGAAUUGAUGUCCUGGUUAGAAUUGGUGGUCUUCUAGGGGAGGAUUUUGUUGUUAGACAGAUCCUGCCAUUGCUAAGAAAUGUAGUUCACUCUUGCAUUGAUGCUUCAUAUAUGCAUAAGCCUGAGCCUAUGCAGAGCUGGAGUUCUUUAGCCCUUAUUGAUUGUCUGAUGACGUUAGAUGGUCUUGUUGCAGUCUUGCCAAAGGAGGUGGUUAUAAAGGAGUUGAUAGAGGAUGGAAAUUGCCUGCAUGUCAAGAUUCUCAUGCAGACCAAUUUGGAUGUUGCGGCACUUCAGGUUGCUGCUACAAGUCUCAUUGCAAUUUGUGAGCAGAUUGGCCUGGAUUUGACGGCAUUGCAUGUCCUGCCAAAGCUCAAAGAACUAUUCUAUGAGCUUGCUUUUUCUCAGGAAACCACUAUUGCCUCUGGUUCUUUCAGCAGAAGCUCAAAAGUUGCCAAACAGAAAGUUGAGGGGGGUCAAAUUGAAAGCCGUAUGGACCUUGUGUUGCUUCUAUAUCCUCCUUUUGCUUCUCUCCUUGGCAUAGAGAAACUUCGCCAAUGUUGUUCCACAUGGUUGCUUCUUGAACAAUUCCUUCUGCGAUGCCACAACUGGAAGUGGGAGUACACUGGGGAAUCCACUCGAAGUGUUCCUGACAAUAUUAAUGCUAAAAGGCCUGGUUUUAACAAGAGAUCAACAUCUGAAUAUAGUCCUGCUAAACUGUUGCUCAAUGGUGUUGGUUGGUCAAUACCACAAUCACAAGGAAACAAAAGUGGCAAAAACUUGAUCCCUCAUAAGCAUGCAAAUGAUCUUCAUCAGAAUUCAGGUGAGAGGCCUCUUGGAACCUCCACUUUUGAACAGCAUGAUCCUUGGUAUUGGUUCCCUAGUCCAGCAGCUAGCUGGGAUGGGCCUGACUUUUUAGGUCGGGCUGGGAGCAUGAAAGAUGAACUUCCAUGGAAGAUCAGAGCAUCUAUAAUACACUCUAUCCGUGGACAUCAUGGAACAAUAAGGUCUUUAGCAGUUUGCCAAGAUGAGUGUACAGUUUUUACAGCAGGAGUUGGUCCAGGAUUCAGGGGAACUGUUCAGAAGUGGGACUUGUCAAGAAUUGAUUGUAUAUCUGGCUAUUAUGGUCAUGAGGAGGUUGUGAAUGAUAUAUGUGUUUUAUCAACCUGUGGGCGGGUAGCUUCUUGUGAUGGAACAGUACAUGUUUGGAACAGCCAAACAGGAAAAUUAAUAUCAAUUUUCGCUGAAUCAUCUGCAAAUCCUGUGCAUGCUACUAGCCCUCCUUCAACAUCUACAUCAAAUACAAAUGCUGAUCAAACCAAUAUUCUAAAUUCAAAUCCACUAUCAGGUGGAAUAUUGUCUUCUGCAUUUGAUGGGAGCUUGUACACUUGUAUGCAUCACCUAGCUUCCAUCGAAAAGCUUGUAGUUGGUACCGGAAAUGGUUCUCUAAGAUUCAUUGAUGUUUCCCAAGGUCAAAAACUUCAUCUCUGGAGAAGUGAAUCUGGUGAAUCCAGUUUCCCUUCCCUCAUUUCCUCCAUAUGUGCGUGUGGGCCUGACAAAAUGCGAGCUGAUGGAGCCACAACUUCACCAUCUUGGAUUGCAGCUGGACUAAGUUCUGGAUUUUGUAGGUUGCUUGAUAUGAGGAGUGGAAAUAUUAUUGCCUCAUGGCGUGCUCACGAUGGAUAUGUGACAAAGUUAGCUGCACCGGAAGAACAUUUGCUUGUCUCAAGCUCUCUUGACAAGACUUUACGAAUUUGGGACUUGAGAAGGGACUGGCCACCACAGCCCAUUGUUUUCAGAGGUCACAGUGAUGGUGUGUCUGGCUUCUCUGUGUGGGGACAAGAUGUGAUUUCAAUCGCUAAAAAUAAGAUUGGGCUUUCCUCUUUAUCCAGAUCUGCAAAUGAAGAUGUGCUACCUUGUGUCACACCUCAAUAUCUCUAUUUGGCAGAUCAUGGAGCAAGGAACGUUUCAGUUUUAUCGAGUUUAAGUAUUCUGCCAUUCUCAAGGCUCUUUCUCGUUGGAACGGAAGAUGGUCAUCUGAAGAUCUGUUGCUAGAUUGCCUUGCCUAUAUAUAUGUACUUUCAUCUCGUCAUUCUCACCGAUUUGUUCAUUUUUGUAUUAUAUUCAUUCAUCUACGUAUUACUUAAUUUUUAAGCUUGUUGCUAAAAUGGAAAAAAUGCCUGGUCAGGAAUCUUGUGAUUCAAAACCGGAGCACGCAGUGAUUAUGUCUGAAUUCUAAGGUCUAUAUCUCAAAAAUAGUUAUGAGGGGAAUUUGUCAAGUUCAUUGGUUUUGGAGUAAUGAGUUUUGCUGGACAAGGAAAAGCCACAUGGUUAUUAUGAAACAUGAGAAAGGUAAGAGUCAUAUGACUGAAGGGGCACGAUUUAGUAGCACUGUAAGAUUCUUUUCAAUAUUAUGAUUCGAAGGUUACGAAAUGUUUCAAUAUGGUGCUUGCUAAUUGUUUGCAAGAUCAACAAGUAAAGAAGGGAUACUUGGUCGUGAGACACAAUGGAAACCGAAGGACGAAGACUUCCCAUUGCUCCCUAAAGUUGUCUUAGUGGUGGGUAAUUGGGUUUUCAGUGGUUACAAAAUCAAUAUCAGAUGUGCCGCCUCGCCCUGCUCACUAUACUGUUAAAACUCAACUAUUUUCACUACUUUUAACUAAUAACAUUGGGAGAGACGAGUCAGCUGAAUUUUGAAGCUGGAGCUUACAAGUGGUACAAUUGCUCAUAUUUCAUUCUCUCUCUCCAUUCUAAGGUUAUAUAUCUGAUAUUUGAAUCAGAAGAAAAAUGAAAUUACUUAUACAUAUUUAUUCAUUAUUUAAUAUUUCCUUGGACAAAAUAUUAAAUUAGGGGUGCUAACGGCUUGGGACUUGGGACAAAUUUGUGAAUCAAACCAUCCCAAUGUAAUUGGGUUUGUGUUUGGUUUAAAAUUUUUUGACCUAAUUCAAUUCUAAUUUUGUUUUCUAUGAUUCCAACCCAACAGUAUUGUUAUAAUAAUUACCCAUUUUUAUUCA